GGGCCCGCACAAGCGGCGGAGCAUGCGGCUUAAUUCGAUGCAACGCGAAGAACCUUACCUAGGCUUGACAGUUGGGGAAAUCUGGCAGAGAUGUCAGGUCCGUAAGGGCCCCAAAACAGGUGGUGCAUGGCUGUCGUCAGCUCGUGUCGUGAGAUGUUGGGUUAAGUCCCGCAACGAGCGCAACCCUCGUCGUAUGUUGCCAGCGGAUAAUGCCGGGGACUCAUACGAGACUGCCGGGGUCAACUCGGAGGAAGGUGGGGACGACGUCAAGUCAUCAUGCCCCUUAUGUCUAGGGCUGCACGCAUGCUACAAUGGCCGGUACAGAGGGCUGCGAAACCGUAAGGUGGAGCGAAUCCCAAAAAGCCGGUCUCAGUUCGGAUUGGGGUCUGCAACUCGACCCCAUGAAGUCGGAGUCGCUAGUAA
This 423-nucleotide ribosomal RNA is filed under the name uncultured bacterium. RNAcentral describes it as "bacterial SSU rRNA". It matches the Rfam family "Bacterial small subunit ribosomal RNA", at positions 917 to 1341 of the family's 1533-position model. The record is from RNAcentral.